This 7474-nucleotide long non-coding RNA is filed under the name Lactuca sativa (garden lettuce). RNAcentral describes it as "long non-coding RNA (LSAT_LNC004004)". The record is from RNAcentral. Lineage: Eukaryota; Viridiplantae; Streptophyta; Magnoliopsida; Asterales; Asteraceae.
AGGCUGCAACUAUAUUAGGCAAGUAUUUGACCCGGUUGUGCAUGGUCCUUUUGGGUUGCCUUCACCAUAGCAACUUGAUGGGAUGAUUUAAUAAGAGAGAGUAAAUAUUAUUAGUAUAUUAUGAGAAUAAUAUAAAGAAUAAUAUAUUGUUAUUUGAUUAAUAUAAGUCAUAGAAUUAAUUGGAAUUAAUUUGGUGACUUAAAGAGGUUAAUUAAAUAAAGGGGUAUAAACUGUCAAUUGUUUGAUAGUUAAGCUUUAGACUAUAAAUCCUUAUAGAUAUACAAGGGAUGAAUUCUAGAAGCUAAAGGAUAGCUAAAUUCGUCCAUGACUUAUCUAAGGAAAGGAUUUGGAUAGCCUUAAGAGAAGAUUAUCCAAUUAGGGUUUAGAUUGUAACCCUUAAGGAGUCUACAAGUAUAAAUAGAUCCCAUGGGCAAGGGAAAUCGAAACCUCUCCUAAAGUAAGAGAACCCUGGCCGAUUUCCUCCCCUCUCCUCUCUCCUAAAUCAUCCUUCUUUCUAUUGGUGUUUGUAAGCCAUUAGAGGAGUGACAUUUGUGACUCUAGAAGCUCCAAGACCACAAGAUCAACAAGGAACUCAAAGGUAUGGUUCUAGAUCUGUUUCAAUGUUGUUAUUUAACCUAAUUAGUCAUUAGAAGUCUUGGAUUCAAAGCAUGUUUAAUUAGAAAGCCUAGAUCCAAGCAUUAGGGUUUUGCAUGCGCACAUAGGAAAGUUCUUAUGGCUAAAACCCAUCAGUGGUAUCAGAGCCUAGCUUGGUUUUCUGUAAAUUGUUGCUUGAUUAACUGAAACAAACCUGCAAAAUUCGAAUUUUUGGUUUCUGAGUCAUGGACUCGGCGAGUCUCAAAGUGGACUCGGCGAGUAGGCCUGACUCGGCGAGUCCAUUUGUGCACUCGGCGAGUCCAGGCGUCAGGAAUGGCCAGAUUCGGGAUUUCUUUGUGUUUAUCUUAUCUUAACUUACCAUAAACUAAUUAGAUCAACAUUAAUUCGUUUUUCUGAUAAAUAUAACUAUUAUCUUGAUCUAGUUAAAGGUAAUUAUCAACUAAUUAAAUAUUUAAUUUCCUUAUAUGAUAAUUAAUUAAUUAUUUUGAUUAUUUUGGUAAUUAUCUUUAAAAGAAAUCUUGAAUAAAUCAAAUAUAGAUAAUUAGGAUAUUAAUUGUUAAUUGGAAUUAUUUGUUAUUUGAUCCUCCAUGUUUUAAAUGUUUAAAACCUACCCUCAUGUUUUGAAAUUUACUUUUGUGAUUAAAAGUUUUAAUUUAGACAACUUAAAUUUCAAACCCUAGAUUUUAAAAGUUUUAAAAUACAACCCUAUACUAAUAUGAUAUUACUAGAAUAAUAUAUAUAUGUAUAACUAAAUGCUAGUCUUACCGUUAGUAGGCCUCAUUCACGAAGCCGAUCUAUAAGGUGGGUAUAAGGUUGCGGCCUAUAAAAUGGCGCUUAAUGGGUGUACACUCACACCCACCGCUUGCUUGAUUGGUGGAGGGUCGUUAGCCGAACGGGUAGGAUAGGGCAACCUCAUCCUCUCAUUAAAAGUAUAAUAAGAAAUAUAAAGUAACUACACAUUUUUUUAAAAUUUCCCAAUCCUAGUUACUUUAGGAAAAGUGAAUUGAUGCAAUCCCAUGAAAUUACACUUUGCACCUUGCUAAGAUGUUAGUGGAGCGUGUGUGGUUUACCGGCACACUAAUUGGUUCUAAGCGAAGGUGGCAAAGGGUGAUUCAUUGUUUAUCAUAGUUCGAUGGAGCGUGUGUGGUUUACCGGCACAUCGAAUAGGUGAUUGUUACAAUGAAGGCACCAUGUGAAUUUGCAUGGUAAUUCACACCCGCUUUGUGAUCCUCGGCAUCCCAGUCACAAACAAGAGGGGCAUAUCGAGAUUUAAACAUGCCAUUGAAUAGUUUCAAUGAAUCUCAUCCGAACCUAGGAAUUCUCAAAAACACUUAGGACUAAUAGUUUAAGUUUUGUGAUGGAGAAUUAGUGAAUCGUCAUUCACUUACCUUCAAUUUAUUUGCAUGUUAGAUUACGGCAUCCCUUUUCUAGUAUGUAAAUGUUAUUGUUGGAUCCUAGCCCUAAUUUUCUUAUUGGGUGAUAAUUAGGGAUUCUUAUUCUAAUCUAUCUUUGUCCUUUUCUAAUUGUAGAUGUCGAACGCAAACAACGCUGCUGCUAGUUCUUUCACGUUGAUGAGCCUUUGCCAAAAGGUCACCUUCGAUGGAACGAACUUUAGCGAAUGGAUAAGAUACAUUCGCACCAUUGCUCGCUAUGAGGAUAAGGAGUAUGUCCUCGAUGAGAAGCUCGAGAAAAUCAACCCCGAAAUUGCUACUCCCGCCGAAAUCACCGCCUUUGAAACUCAUGAGCGAGAUGCAACGAAGGUACAUUGCAUCAUGAUCGCCACCAUGAACUCCGAAUUCCAAAAGUCCUACGAGGACAUGUACCCGUACGAGAUGCAUCAAGACUUAUUGGAGAGGUACCACCAAAACGCGAGACAAGAGAGGUACGAGAUUUUCACUAACAUGAUUUCCGCGAAGAUGGGUCAUGGAGAAUCUCUUACCGUGCACUUGCAAAAGAUGCAAAGGUAUGUUGACCGCCUCCGCAAGUUAAAUGUUGACUUCGGUGAAGACUUGGCGAUCGACAUGGUGCUUCACUCUUUGCCUCCGAUGUACAACCAAUUUAGGAUGACCUACCACAUGAACAAAGAAGAGGUCACCCUAAGCAAGCUCCAAGGUCUCUUGAGGGUUGCUGAGAGCAACUUCAAAGACAAGUCUGUUGCACCUACUCCCAAUCCGCCCGCUGCUCCUGUCUUGGCUAUUGGACAAGGGAAGGGAAAGAAGAGGAAAGCUUCAUCGAAGAACUAUCGCAAGGUGAAAGCCCGAGAUGGUGCCUCUUCUAGUGGGACCAAAGUUGAUCCCGCCAAGCCCUGCUCUAACCCGAAGGAGGCAGAGUGCCACCACUGCCACAAGAUAGGACAUUGGAAGAGAAGCUGCCCGGAUUACCUGCAAGCAAUCAAAGAAGGAAAGAUCAAGCCAUCUUUCGCAGGUAUAUAUACAAUCAAAUCUAACGAUUCUAAUCAUGCUAUUUCUUGGGUUCUUGAUACCGGUUGUGGUUAUCACAUUUGUUCUAAUGUGCAGGGACUAAGAAGAAGUAGGGAUGUGGAGCAAGGAAGGAUCAAUCUAAUCAUGGGGAACAGAAGAUCGUCGCCUGUGACCAAGAUUGGAGUGUAUUCCUUAGUGCUUAGGAAUAGUUUAGUUUUAGAUUUGAACAAUUGUUGCUAUUCGCCAGAAAUGGCAAGAAACAUCAUUUCAUUUCAUGGUUUAUAUAGACAAGGAUUUAGAUUUUCUUUUAAUAAUGAGAAUGGUUCUAUUUUGGCUUAUCUAAAUGGUGUCUUUUACUUUGAAGCUAUACCAUGUAAUGGAAUAUAUGAAACCGUUAUGAUUGUUGAUAACUUAGGAAAUGAUGUUUUGAAUAUUGAUUCUUCCACUAGUAUGGAUAAAGCAUCCUUGUGGCAUUGUCGUCUUGGACAUGUCAACAAGAAACGCAUAGCCCAACUCCAAAAGGAUGGAGUGUUGGAGUCAUUCGACCUUAGGGAAGAUGACACAUGCGAGUCUUGUUUGCUUGGAAAGAUGACUAAGUCACCCUUCACGAGUACAUGUGAAAGGGGCGAGGGUCUAUUGGACCUAAUACAUACCGAUGUAUGUGGACCGUUUAGAUCAACCACGAAGGAUGGGAACCGCUUCUAUGUGACUUUUACCGAUGACUAUAGUAGAUAUGGGUAUAUCUACUUAAUCAAGCAAAAGUCAGACACCUUUGAAAAGUUCAAAGAGUUCAAGAAUGAAGUGGAGAAUCAAUUGGGCAGGAAAAUCAAGAUGCUUCGAUCCGAUCGAGGAGGAGAGUACCUAAGUCUUGAAUUCCACGAUUAUCUCAAGGAGUGUGGAAUAGUUUCGCAAUUGACGCCUCCUAGGACACCGCAGUUGAAUGGUGUGGCAGAAAGGCGUAAUCGAACCUUAUUGGAUAUGGUUCGCUCUAUGAUGAGUCGUGCUUCACUACCUAUCUCUUUUUGGGGGUAUGCCUUAGAGACUGCCGCCCAUAUCCUUAACCGAGUCCCUACUAAGAAGGUUGCCAAAACACCUCACGAGAUGUGGACAGGGAAAGCUCCCUCGUUGGCACAUAUCAAGGUUUGGGGUUGCGAGGCUUUCGUAAGACGAGAUACUCACGACAAGCUUGAACCUCGAAGUGAGCGAUGUAUUUUCAUCGGCUACCCGCAGACAUCCUUUGGAUAUCUCUUCUAUAGACCGAAGGACAAUGUUGUCUUCGUUGCGAGGAGAGGAGUUUUCCGAGAGCGAGAACUCAUAAGCCAAGGAGACAGUGGGAGGCAAAUCGAGCUUGAAGAGAUUCAAGAGUCGAUAGAUGAAGGAACCUCUACCGCUGGCACUCAACCCGAGGAGGAAACUCCGGUUGAACCGAUUGACGAAUCCUUACCUCUUAGACGUUCCGAUAGAGUUAGAGUUCAACCCCAGUUUUAUGGUUUUCAUAUUACUACCGAAGGGGACACGUAUAUUAGUGAUGGUACACUAAUAAAUCUUGAUGAACCUAAUAGCUAUAAGGAAGCCAUGGCAGGCCCGGAGUCUGCAAAAUGGAAAGAGGCAAUGGAUAGCGAGAUCCAAUCCAUGUAUGAUAACCAAGUUUGGAAUUUGGUUGAUUAUGUGCCCGGACGUAAGACCGUUGGGUGCAAAUGGAUCUUCAAGAAGAAGACCGACGUGGAUGGAAACGUACACACAUAUAAAGCGCGAUUGGUUGCGAAGGGCUUUACUCAAACUCCCGGAGUUGACUAUGAUGAGACCUUCUCACCAGUUGCGAAGAUUAAAUCUAUUAGAGUGAUGCUAGCAAUUGCCGCAUUUCAUGAUUAUGAGAUUUGGCAAAUGGAUGUCAAGACCGCUUUCCUUAACGGAAAGUUGGCUGAGGAUGUUUACAUGGCUCAGCCAGAGGGGUUUGUGGAUCCGAAGCAUCCGAAUAGAGUGUGUAAGCUUGAGAAGUCCAUUUAUGGACUUAAGCAAGCGUCUCGCAGAUGGAAUCUUUGCUUCGAUGAGAAAGUCAAAGAGUUUGGAUUUGUACGAAGCGAAGACGAAUCUUGUGUAUAUGUCAAAGCCAGUGGGAGUAUAGUAAGCUUCCUCGUUCUAUAUGUCGAUGACAUAUUACUCAUAGGAAACGACAUCCCGACUCUGCAGGAGGUUAAGUCCUGGCUCGGGAAGUGCUUCGCUAUGAAGGACCUCGGAGAGGCUUCUUACAUUUUGGGAAUAAGGAUAGUAAGAGAAAGAAGUAAGAGACUAAUUGGACUUAGUCAGAAUACUUACUUAGAGAAGGUACUAAAACGUUUUAGUAUGGAAAACUCAAAGAAGGGAGAACUACCGAUACAAAGUAAUGCCAAAUUGAGUAAGACUCAAAGUCCGAGUACCGAAGCUGAGAUAGCAGAAAUGAGCCGAGUACCAUACGCUUCCGCAGUUGGCUCAAUCAUGUACGCUAUGACUUGUACUCGCCCUGAUGUAGCCUUCGCUUUGAGCAUGGUUAGCAGAUAUCAAGGGAAUCCUGGCAGAGCACAUUGGAUUGCGGUGAAGAAUAUCCUUAAGUACCUUCGGAGGACGAAGGAAUGGUUCUUAGUCCUCGGAGGGAGUGAUGACUUGAAGGUGCGAGGGUAUAGUGACGCCAGUUUUCAGACCGACAGGGACAACUACCGUUCGCAGUCGGGCUGGGUCUUUACCCUAAAUGGAGGAGCAGUGACAUGGAAGAGUUCCAAGCAGGAAACCGUAGCUGAUUCAACGUGCGAAUCAGAGUACAUUGCAGCGAGCGAAGCGUCGAAGGAGGCAAUAUGGCUAAAGAACUUCAUCGGUGAUCUUGGAGUUGUACCUGCCAUAAAGGAGCCCAUGGAGAUUUUCUGUGAUAACGAAGGAGCGGUUGCCUUGACCAAGGAACCGAGGGAUCAUGGUAGAUCAAGACAUAUCGACAGAAAGUAUCACUUCAUUAGACAUCGUGUAGAAGAAGGACAACUCGUAGUGAAGAGGAUAUCAUCAGAAGAUAACCCAGCAGAUCCGCUUACGAAGGGACUGAGUAGGGUUAAGCACUUGCAGCAUGCUAGGAGUAUUGGGCUGAAGGAUGAUAUUAGCAUAGAUUAGAUAGUAUUAGAAACGUGUAAUAGAUAAAUGUAAUUAACAUUUGAUGAUUAAAUAAAGGAGUUUUAUUUAUGAGUAAUGUUACUAUCUUAUGUUAAUUGUUUAACUAUUGUUUCACUUUGCAUGUUUUGACUUCCAGAAUAAUUGAGUUUAUUAGGAAUAAUCGAAUUGUUCAAAUUGUCCACAAUCGUUCAUAUGUUGGAAGUAGAUAUGAAUGAAGAUUGUCAUGAAUUGGUGUGUAGAUUGUCUAAAUGGUGUUAGACAUAGCAAAGGGUUGCUGCAACGUUCAUGAGUGCUUAUGAACUAGUUUUGAGCAUUGGAACAAACCCGCGCUUGCUGGAAUCACCUUAUGGAAUAUGAUAUAAAAGGGUGAUCGCAAGACGAUAAUAUCAUAUAGUCUUAAAACCUAGAUAUAUGGUUUGUUAUUUGUUAAUUGAUUGUACAUUGAUAAUGCGAAAACGCAUCAGUAACUCGGUGUUAUAAAACGCAUUGUUGUGUAUAGUUGGUUAAUGAAUAAGUAAAUGCAUAUAAGUCGAAGUUUAUCUGUAACUUUUAUCUAAGAAGGUAAAAGCGAUAUCUCGGCCGCUCGAUGAUUUGAUUUGACUUAUGUGCCGGGCCCGGUCAGAACUAAAUUGAUGUGUUCGAUUAAGUUCUAUGUCAAAUAAAUCAGAGAUCGAGAAACCUAAAUGCUUGACUAACCAUUCCAUAGGAUUGUCAGCAUGAUAUCUAACAGAGGACUGUACGAUCCCUUAUCUAAAGGACAAGAUUGAUUAGAUCAGAGUUUGACAGCGUCUUUGAGAGCUACGAUUGCAAACCGAAUUGUACUUGUGCAUAUAGUUACUAGACUUAUCCAAGUGGGAGACUGUUGGAAUAGUGUCUAAGGCUGCAACUAUAUUAGGCAAGUAUUUGACCCGGUUGUGCAUGGUCCUUUUGGGUUGCCUUCACCAUAGCAACUUGAUAGGAUGAUUUAAUAAGAGAGAGUAAAUAUUAUUAAUAUAUUAUGAGAAUAAUAUAAAGAAUAAUAUAUUGUUAUUUGAUUAAUAUAAGUCAUAGAAUUAAUUGGAAUUAAUUUGGUGACUUAAAGAGGUUAAUUAAAUAAAGGGGUAUAAACUGUCAAUUGUUUGAUAGUUAAGCUUUAGACUAUAAAUCCUUAUAGAUAUACAAGGGACGAAUUCUAGAAGCUAAAGGAUAGCUAAAUUCGUCCAUGACUUAUCUAAGGAAAGGAUUUGGAUAGCCUUAAGAGAAGAUUAUCCAAUUAGGGUUUAGAUUGUAACCCUUAAGGAGUCUACAAGUAUAAAUAGAUCCCAUGG